Molecule: ribosomal RNA, 274 nt
Filed under: uncultured bacterium
Lineage: Bacteria
Description: partial 16S ribosomal RNA
Rfam family: Bacterial small subunit ribosomal RNA
Source: RNAcentral
AUACGGAGGGUGCAAGCGUUAAUCGGAAUUACUGGGCGUAAAGCGUACGUAGGCGGUUAUUUAAGUCAGAUGUGAAAGCCCCGGGCUUAACUUGGGAACAGCAUUUGAAACUGGGUAACUAGAGUUUAGUAGAGGGGAGUGGAAUUUCAGGUGUAGCGGUGAAAUGCGUAGAGAUCUGAAGGAACACCAGUGGCGAAGGCGACUCCCUGGACUAAACCUGACGCUGAGGUACGAAAGCGUGGGUAGCAAACAGGAUUAGAUACCCCAGUAGUCC